Molecule: ribosomal RNA, 276 nt
Filed under: uncultured bacterium
Lineage: Bacteria
Description: partial 16S ribosomal RNA
Rfam family: Bacterial small subunit ribosomal RNA
Source: RNAcentral
CUAAGUUUGAUGGCGACCGGCGCACGGGUGAGUAACACGUAUCCAACCUGCCGAUGACUCGGGGAUAGCCUUUCGAAAGAAAGAUUAAUACCCGAUGGCAUAGUUCUUCCGCAUGGUAGAACUAUUAAAGAAUUUCGGUCAUCGAUGGGGAUGCGUUCCAUUAGGUUGUUGGCGGGGUAACGGCCCACCAAGCCUUCGAUGGAUAGGGGUUCUGAGAGGAAGGGUCCCCCACAUUGGAACUGAGACACGGUCCAAACUCCUACGGGAGGCAGCAUG